CAAGUGAGUUGGGGUACCUUCUACCACUUGGGAAUUCCCAGCACAUUUGGGAUGGCAGUAGAGAAAACAGGACUGGGAGUUAACUUACAUCUCGUGUGGGUGUCACUGACCUCUGAUGCCAAAGUCCUGGCCAUCCCAUUAGCCAACUGUUUUAUCUGACUCCCUGUGGUCAGCACGUCCACACGGUUCCUGCCUCCCUCCCUGGUGGGCUGUCACCUGCAAGUGUAAGAGGAAACAAGCCCUUUCCUCCCCAAGUCGCUGGCCCUCAAGGUUCAUCGUAGCUGAGGCUAAGAGAAUGAAGACAGCAGCCGUUUUCUCUAAGGUAAAAGCUGCCCACCACUGAAGAGGGCGCAGAAGAGGCACGGGGUGAAAGUCGGGGGCGCUUAGGAUCAGGUCUC
Molecule: long non-coding RNA, 398 nt
Organism: Psammomys obesus (fat sand rat)
Lineage: Eukaryota; Metazoa; Chordata; Mammalia; Rodentia; Muridae
Exons: 3
Source: RefSeq, a predicted model, not a curated record